RNAcentral lists this ribosomal RNA (844 nucleotides) under uncultured bacterium. RNAcentral describes it as "bacterial SSU rRNA". It matches the Rfam family "Bacterial small subunit ribosomal RNA", at positions 26 to 899 of the family's 1533-position model. The record is from RNAcentral.
AGGAUGAACGCUGGCGGCGUGCCUAACACAUGCAAGUCGAGCGAUCUUCUUCGGAAGAGAGCGGCGGACGGGUGAGUAACGCGUGGGUAACCUGCCCUGUACACACGGAUAACAUACCGAAAGGUAUGCUAAUACGAGAUAACAUACUUUUAUCGCAUGGUAGAAGUAUCAAAGCUCCGGCGGUACAGGAUGGACCCGCGUCUGAUUAGCUAGUUGGUAAGGUAACGGCUUACCAAGGCGACGAUCAGUAGCCGACCUGAGAGGGUGAUCGGCCACAUUGGAACUGAGACACGGUCCAAACUCCUACGGGAGGCAGCAGUGGGGAAUAUUGCACAAUGGGCGAAAGCCUGAUGCAGCAACGCCGCGUGAGCGAUGAAGGCCUUCGGGUCGUAAAGCUCUGUCCUCAAGGAAGAUAAUGACGGUACUUGAGGAGGAAGCCCCGGCUAACUACGUGCCAGCAGCCGCGGUAAUACGUAGGGGGCUAGCGUUAUCCGGAAUUACUGGGCGUAAAGGGUGCGUAGGUGGUUUCUUAAGUCAGAGGUGAAAGGCUACGGCUCAACCGUAGUAAGCCUUUGAAACUGGGAAACUUGAGUGCAGGAGAGGAGAGUGGAAUUCCUAGUGUAGCGGUGAAAUGCGUAGAUAUUAGGAGGAACACCAGUUGCGAAGGCGGCUCUCUGGACUGUAACUGACACUGAGGCACGAAAGCGUGGGGAGCAAACAGGAUUAGAUACCCUGGUAGUCCACGCCGUAAACGAUGAGUACUAGCUGUCGGAGGUUACCCCCUUCGGUGGCGCAGCUAACGCAUUAAGUACUCCGCCUGGGAAGUACGCUCGCAAGAGUGAAA